UGAGGAAUAUUGGUCAAUGGGUGCAAGCCUGAACCAGCCAUCCCGCGUGAAGGACGACUGCCCUAUGGGUUGUAAACUUCUUUUGUAUAGGGAUAAACCUUUCCACGUGUGGAAAGCUGAAGGUACUAUACGAAUAAGCACCGGCUAACUCCGUG
Molecule: ribosomal RNA, 155 nt
Filed under: uncultured bacterium
Lineage: Bacteria
Also listed under: 1 other name
Description: partial 16S ribosomal RNA
Rfam family: Bacterial small subunit ribosomal RNA
Source: RNAcentral